AAAAAAAUUCGACGAAAAAUUCCAAUAUUACUAUCGUAAUCCUGGACUAUACUUUUAUUAUCUGUAACAUUCAAAUAUAUGAUACGAAAAUUUACAGUUUUUAAAAGAUUUUUUACUAUUCACUAUCGUAAUUUCAUUAAGAGUUUAUUGUAAUCAAUUCAAUAAGAAAUAUUACAAUGUUACUAUCGUAAAUAGUAAAAGAAUAAAAAAUAAGAUUUAAUUAUACUAUUUAUUCUUUUAUUCUUCCUUUUAAUUUACAGUGCUGCCUCUAUGUUUUUACAAUACAAGCUACAAAAAUUACGAUAGUUGGAUUGUAAAUUUUCUGAAAUGGUAUAGUAUAUGCCAUCUGAAGCGUUUACGUAUGAAAGACAAGUGUUGUCACAAACCAUGAUGUGAUGCUUGUAUGAGUGUAUAUAUAUAUAUAAAUACAAAUGAUGACAUCUACUUUGUCUGUAUUAUUUGUGGUUCAACUAUAUAUAUUUAUAAAUCAGUUCAUCUUUAUCCACAGUGUAGUGCAGAAAUAGAGGUUAUUAUUCAUGACGUUUUUCGGACAAUUGUAAAUAAGAAAUUUAAAAUAAAAACUGUACUUUCGUCAUUACAAACCUACAUAGAUUGUGGAAUAUAAUAAUUUGGUGGUGAUAAUCUUCAUUUGUCGACAAUGAAUAAUUUUACCCGGCUUUGCGAGAGGUAAAACAUUUCAAUAACCUCAAAUUAUGGACAUUCAACAUUUCUUUAUGAUACUGAAGUUAGCAGACGCCUAACAAUUUUUGGAUUUUUUUAAAAAUGAUAAAUUAUAGAAAAAAAGUAUUCGAAAAAAUUGCACCUAUGGUUUUUUUAAUUUUCUACAUGUGCGUAUUUUGAAUACAAAUAAAUGAGUUAUUUAUUCAUAAAUUUUAUAUAUACCAAAAAAAUAUGUUUGAAAAAAUAUUAAAUAAAUGUUUUAUUAUUACUACUUCAA
This is a long non-coding RNA of Microplitis mediator, 958 nucleotides long. RefSeq lists it as uncharacterized. The record is from RefSeq and is a predicted model, not a curated record. The transcript is spliced from 2 exons. Lineage: Eukaryota; Metazoa; Arthropoda; Insecta; Hymenoptera; Braconidae.